UGGGGAAUAUUGGACAAUGGGCGCAAGCCUGAUCCAGCCAUGCCGCGUGUGUGAUGAAGGCCUUAGGGUUGUAAAGCACUUUCGCCGAUGAAGAUAAUGACUGUAGUUGAAGAAGAAGCCCCGGCUAACUUCGUGCCAGCAGCCGCGGUAAUACGAAGGGGGCAAGCGUUGUUCGGAUUUACUGGGCGUAAAGCGUACGUAGGCGGAUGAUUAAGUCAGGGGUGAAAUCCCGGGGCUCAACCUCGGAACUGCCUUUGAUACUGGUCGUCUUGAGUCCGGGAGAGGUGAGUGGAACUCCUAGUGUAGAGGUGAAAUUCGUAGAUAUUAGGAAGAACACCAGUGGCGAAGGCGGCUCACUGGCCCGGAACUGACGCUGAGGUACGAAAGCGUGGGGAGCAAACAGGAUUAGAUACCCUGGUAGUCCACGCCGUAAACGAUGGAUGCUAGCCGUCGGGGAGCUUGCUCUUCGGUGGCGCAGCUAACGCAUUAAGCAUCCCGCCUGGGGAGUACGGUCGCAAGAUUAAAA
This 526-nucleotide ribosomal RNA is filed under the name uncultured bacterium. RNAcentral's name for it is "partial 16S ribosomal RNA". It matches the Rfam family "Bacterial small subunit ribosomal RNA", at positions 355 to 899 of the family's 1533-position model. The record is from RNAcentral.